This 468-nucleotide ribosomal RNA is filed under the name uncultured bacterium. RNAcentral describes it as "partial 16S ribosomal RNA". It matches the Rfam family "Bacterial small subunit ribosomal RNA", at positions 28 to 507 of the family's 1533-position model. The record is from RNAcentral.
GACGAACGCUGGCGGCGUGCUUAACACAUGCAAGUCGAACGGAAAGGCCCUGCUUUUGUGGGGUGCUCGAGUGGCGAACGGGUGAGUAACACGUGAGUAACCUGCCCUUGACUUUGGGAUAACUUCAGGAAACUGGGGCUAAUACCGGAUAGGAGCUCCUGCUGCAUGGUGGGGGUUGGAAAGUUUCGGCGGUUGGGGAUGGACUCGCGGCUUAUCAGCUUGUUGGUGGGGUAGUGGCUUACCAAGGCUUUGACGGGUAGCCGGCCUGAGAGGGUGACCGGCCACAUUGGGACUGAGAUACGGCCCGGACUCCUACGGGAGGCAGCAGUGGGGAAUAUUGCACAAUGGGCGGAAGCCUGAUGCAGCAACGCCGCGUGCGGGAUGACGGCCUUCGGGUUGUAAACCGCUUUCGCCUGUGGCGAAGCGUGAGUGACGGUAAUGGGUAAAGAAGCACCGGCUAACUACGUG